This 68-nucleotide transfer RNA is filed under the name Sitophilus zeamais (maize weevil). Its description in RNAcentral is "tRNA-Met". The record is from RNAcentral. Lineage: Eukaryota; Metazoa; Arthropoda; Insecta; Coleoptera; Curculionidae.
AAAAAGAUAAGCUAAUUAAGCUAAUGGGUUCAUACCCCACUCAUAAAGGUACAAUCCUUUUCUUUUUA